GUCAGUAUCCGUCGAGCCUUCAAGCUGUGAACAUUAUUAAAAUUUUUAAUAUGAAAAUAAAAUAAUAAAGUGAAAAGUUUAAAAAUAUAUGUUUUAAAUAAAAUAAAAAAGUUUUUAAAUGUGUUUGGUGUUUUUUUUUUUGUUUUUUCCAAACAGGUAAGACGACAAAAUUAGGUAAGUGAUUGCGUUUAAAACUAAAAUAAAAAUCUAAAAAUAAUUUCAAAUGGAAAUAAAUGUAAGUAAUCUACUUAUUUAAUUGUACUUUUAAUCAAAUUUUCUUUAAUUUUUAAAGCACUUGGCACAUAAUUAAGUUGCCAAAGCAAGCCAUUAGCCAGCCUUCCUCUUGUACUCCAAUUACUUCCCUAUAAUCUCUGCCUUUCUCGUUGAUCCUUUCUAAUGAGAUCGGCCCGGCGAUGGAUGAGCUACCAAAUGUACGGACCGUUCUGUGGCAACAAGUGCAGCAAACACCCCCAAAAGCGGCACCAGCGCCGUCCGCCGUCAACGUCAUCGUUUGACUUUAGCUUUGGCCAUAAGGUUCAGGCCAGAAAGUACUCAGUUAUGCAAAACGCAUUUGUGCAACGAUCAGUGGGACUUGCAGGAGGAGCACAGGGGAGGAUGGGAGGGGAUCGUCGUCGACCAUUGAACAUCGAACGAUCGUUCGGAAUACGCCUUGGCAUUCAGAACGCGGUGCAUUUCCUGCCCGUCGACGGGUCAAAAAACUCGCCCACACUUCAUAGACGGGUGAAUGGAGCCGAGCGAGCCGCAAAUGGCUAACUGUUACUGGGGCUUAAUUAAUUGAAUGCCCUUUGGCCGAUUUAAAAUGCACCACAACGACCCAUGAUCGGCCAUAAAGACGUCUGGCUGGCGCCGGUUGCCAGAAUUUAGGGGUUUACCCUUCGAUUUCCCAAGGCACCGAGGCGGUAGGACUCUCCUCCCAGAAUAGUAAUAGUAUAUAGUGCCCAACCACAACUACUACUCCAUUCAUACUCCGAUCUGUUCCAUUUCCAAUUAGCUGCACGUUCGCUAUGCUAAUGACUCUUGUGAUUCUUGGCCGCGUCUUCGAUUGAGGCAACGAUUUUUCCACCUUAUCAUGUCCUUCCGCCAGCUUUUCUGCUUUCGACUUGGCUUUUUCAGCGGCACUUUGAGGUGGCUUUUUUGACAAACUCACAUGUCAUUUGAUUUUAUGUUCACACGGGACAAUUUAUAUGCUAAUUUGCAGUGCGCAUCAAAGGCGAGCCGUUGACGGUUGCCUCUGAUGAAGGUGUUAGAGAAGUAAUUACGCUGCAUUUAAAUGCUCAAUUAGUGCGGCAACAGAGCUGCAACACAGUGCCUCCAAUGUCUACAGUAUGGCCUCCCCUUGGAGCUCCCUGUUCUCGGCUCCCCAACUCCCCAGGUGAUUGGUGGAACCGCGCGCAUGUCACAAACGAUCUUUCCAUUCAUGUGGUUCGGCAUCUCCAGUCUCGUUAUCCACCCACAAUUGUGGUUCAGUGGUUUCCAUGCAUCAUGUGGCUAACGAGGAGUGAAAUGGGUUCUCGAAAUUCUAGAGAAGCUGUGGAACAAAUCUAGAUGGGAGACUGAGUCUUAAACCAUCAAGGAGUUACAGGUUAAAAGUGUUAUAACAUUAGGUAGUUCUGAGGCCUUAUAUUCCUCGAAACAAUAAAAUAUUCAUAUUUAAAUUACUAUAAAGCCUUUUCACAACCAUGUUACAUAUGAAAAUACUAAUUUUUCCACCAACUUUUUCACCAGGACCUGUCAAGGGAAAGUUUUCUUCUGAAGCCUAACCCACUUUCUCAGGUUUCACUUGAGCUCCCUUAUCUAACCAAAUCCAUUUAGCUAUGUGGUCCAUUUGGCUUUCAGUGCCUUUUCUGGCCAGACACUCGCACGCAAGAUAUAUCUGAAAAGAAAUAUACAAAAAAAAAAAAACGAAAAAAAAAAACAGGGCCAACUCUAAGUGAUCUCAUGUCUUUCGUUGCAAAAUGCUUUUGUCACCGUCCACUUUCCCAAGCCCAAGCCCACCAACUGGUCGCCUCCUUCGAUUCGAUCGCAAAGUAAACUCCUAAAUUAUAAUAAACGUGUAAUCGUAAUGUGUGCUUAUGAACAUAAUCUUUGGGUGAUUUCGCAUGAAUUAGCGAUGCUAAAUGUCAAAUCGAAACGAUAUCAGUGCAGUUCAAAAGCAUCGCGACUCGCCGAUCCCCUAACCGGUAUACCAAAGUCAUAAAAACGCAAAAAAAAAUCGGAAAAAAUGGAAAGAAACCAAUCUGAGCCGGCGAUUGAUUCAAAUGUGCAUGCGAACGCAUUUCGCAAAUGCCAAACACACAUAAAAUCCAGAGUUGACUCACGGGAAAUGGUGCACAGAUCAUGGGAGCAACUGGACACCAAUGGUUUUGAAUUGGAAAUGCACUGAAAAAUUAUGAAUUUUAAAUUAAGUCUUUUUUUCAGAACUUAUAUAUUGUCAAGAGAAAAAGCUUAACUUAUUAAUCUUAGCCAAAAUAUAAAAGGUAUGCUUCUUACAAUGUUUUUCCACAUGUAAGGUCAGGGUUUGACAAAUAAUUAAUACUAUAUUUUAACUAAUAAUAACCCUCUUUAUUAACAUUUAGUUUUCCUCAGUGCUGGACCACCUGGGAAUGGGAACACGAGAAAGACUUUUGCACUUGUUCUGGCAGCCGAGCGGGUAAAUAAAAACCAAAUUUGCAUAGCAUUUUGUACACGGGACUGGGACUGAGGCUUGGGACUAAGAGGAGGUGGACUCUGGGCCUGAUAAACUGGGGCUGCUCCAGGCAGGUGGCCUCACCUGAAGCUGUCCACUAAGGAGGAACAUUUUGAUGAUCGCGUUGGACUUUUACGACACACUUUGUGGGUAUUUAUGCGGUGCAUCUAUCUAUAACCGACUUGGGUGGUAAAUCGAGCAUUUCGGCCAGCCACUCAUUAGCUCUGCCGGCCAUAAAUGUUUUGAUUUGUGGCUAAUUCCAAAUUCAGUUUGCAACGGGUACAAAACAGCACCAACAACUAGAGUGACGGUUUAAUGAGCCAAAAACAACAUAGAACAAGAAAAUAGUACAAGAAAAGUAAGGGAGUCGAACCCAGUUGAACUUUGACUCGGCGACUCUCAAGUGUUUAAUGUGCUUUUGGACAGAAGACAGUGAGGGGGAGCUGCGAAUGCAAAGUGGAAUGCAAAUCUUGUGAAAGCGAUCGCGGCAAAUUGAAAAUCAUAUUUGUCUUGCCCAGCUCUCGCCUCUCUCCAGCAGCAUUACAAUCAAAAUGUGGAACAAGUUCAAUCGAAAGGCCCUUAGGGGCCCAUGCCCAAAACGAUCAGCGAAAGAAGCAAGCUACACUUUAGAAAAAAACAUAUAUUGUAAUAAUUCAAAGCCAGGCCAAGGCGAGUCUACUCACAGGCUAUCAUCAAGCAGCCGGCCAGCAUCGAUGUGGCCCAAAAGCCUGGCCAAAACCAAAGCAAAACUCAAACCAAAAGCCCAAGACUCAAAGGCAAAGGCAAAGGCAAACCGCACCCGCACCACCAGAUCGGCAGCAGCAGCAGCACCACCACCACCACAAAGAGCACCACUCGUGAUCAUUGUUUGAUGUCUGGUGGAUUGUGGUGCCAUUUGGGCCGUGUGGGUGUGGGUGUCUGUGGGAGUUGAAUGAUCUUCGCCCAAACGCUUUCCCAGGCCCCGGACGCGGACUGAAGGCUGGACCCAAUAUGAAAUCCGCGAACCCCAAAUCCGAAUCCGAAUCGCAAUCCAACUUUCGGGGCAGUUUUUGGAGCGAAAAGAUAGGCAAUUAAUGAUCUGGAAAGUGGUUUAUCUGGAGGCUGUCAAAAGCAAUAUACACGUGGUCUAUCCUCUCCUGCCACGAGAUCAUCUUCGUGUGUGGAGGCAUUCUGCAAAGGUUUGUCAGCUCGUUGGCCUCGGUUUUGGUCACCAGGGCUUAAUAACCGCAACAGCCCCGCGAUAUAUCCUCGCCAGCCUAUCCUCCUCCUUCCUAUUCCAACUCUAGACUCGAAAUCCCAUAACGAUAGCCACGAUUCGAUAAGUUUUUCUCACACACGAACCAAGGCAGCAAACAAAGGGAAAAGUGGAAAGUCGGAGGCGAUUGCAAAGAUCGCUGCGAUCAAAUAUGUUAUGGAAAAUUGGGCACAUACCGCAGAUCGACGAGAUGCGACCGGGCAGCGGCUAUUGGCUCACUUUGAUUUGUUUAUUUCGAUGCCACACGAACUACAGUGGAGUGUCCUUAAAUGGGACUAACAGUAGUAUUAAUUAGAAGAACCAUUAUCCUCUCAACUAUAUUCCGACUGUAUCGUUUGCAAUCCCAUUCCAAUGGCACACAGCUCCCUGGGCAGCAGUUUUCCGCUUGCUCCGGCUGCUUUUCUUGGCCACAGCUUGACCUUUCACUGGUGGCUCCGAUUUGCCGGAAGCGCUCACCCAAAAUAUAUCACCAAGCGAAUAUCUACAAAAUGAUGAUUGGAGCAGCUACAGAUCCAACCUCCAACAAUGAGAGGGCACAGCUCGGAGCUUGUGGACUGGACUUGGCCAACUUGGAAAAUUGUAAACAAUAUCUGUAAAAAUAAAAACGCCCAACGCCGCCGAAUGCACUGAAUGCCCAAAAAAAAAUAGUAUCUUUUAUAAAAAUGCCCAUUGUUGUCUUGCAAAUGUAAUGCAAUGAGAGUCAGUCCGGAGUCAGUCAGUCAGGCACCCCGAGGGCAUUACUUCAACUCCUCCGAUUUCGGGAAGCAUUUCGGGGCUGAAACCUUAGGAAGCCAGAGUUACUCUUUUCGGGGUUGGGCCCCUAUCGAACUUGAGAGCUGCCCACGGAGGGUCAAUCGCGUUGAACUAGUUAAAUCAUUUGAAUAAUCACUGCCGCAUCGCAAUAGAAUUGAAUUUGGGUUGAAUUUGCAUUGUUUAACAUCUUUUUGGCUUUGGUAGCCCAACAGAAGGUGACCUCUAUAAUGGCUUUAAAUAAAAAACUAUAUAUUGUUGGGGUAUUCGCAAUCCAAACUAACUCUAAACUCCAAAUAGAGCAAUCAACCUGGCUAUUUGUCAACUAUCCUGACUUCGGAGAACCCACUUCUCACACUUUGCGUUACGAUCAAAGUUAAAUUCCAACGGAUGAUAGACCAGUUAUGGCCUAACCAUAAAAUGCCAUAAAUUACUCUAUUCCGAUCCCAAAUCGGGGGCUAUCGUCGACGAGCAAUCUCCGCCAGUCCGAUCUGAAUGCAUCAACGUGCAGUCCUUACAAAUUAUGUUUAAUUAAAAUUUCUGUAUUAAAUAUGACACAAUGCUCCGAAUUCCAAUGUCCCAGGGAUGAGAGACGAAUGCGAAUGCUGACUGUAAUUAUUAUAUAGCACCCAAGAUCCCGAUCCAUUCAACAGGCUUGAGGACGGGGGAUUGGGAACUGGGGACUGGCGACUGCCGAUGCGUCUGGGGGCUGCAUUUAUGAUUUUGUUUUAUUUAUAAAAUGCCCAGCGAUCAGUGGCCGCGUCCAAUGAUGAUAUUUACAAUUUUCCCUGCCUCUUUAUAUCAUUUUUUCAUCGCCAUGAUUAUUUUUUGCCCGCUUACAUUUGUCGCAUAGUUCGGAUCUUGGCCAAAACCCAAGCGUCUGCCUUUGUCUGGCUUCGGAGCUGGCAGACUGGAAGGUUUCGCGCCCUGGGCAACAGCAUCGGAUGUCCAUAUCUGGUGUUAUGACAAAUGCUGUAUGUAAUUAUGGUGCCUUCAUGGCACUGAUCUGCCCUCCUCUUUUCGGACUUUGGCUGCAAAAAGAUAUCAAAAAUGUCGCAUAUUAAUAAUGCUCUCCAUGGCGGGACACAGGACACGAAAUACGUUUUGUGCCUUAAUUAACCCUUUUUAAAUUGGGCAUAAUUAGGGUGAUGUAUGAAACACUGAGAGAAGUUGUAUACCUUGUUUUUAUUUACUAUUAAAGGCUAAAGAAAUUUGAGAACAAAUAACUUAAAAUUUUAAAACAUAAAUCAAUAACGUCUAAGCGAAGUAUCAGUUGUCUUCUGACAUCUAAAGAUUAAAUAUUCUAUUUUUUUCCUAAAAACCUUAUUAUUUUUCCCAAAGUGCCUGCGACAUCCAUCAUCUCAUCAUUAUAUCAUUCACAUUCGUUAAUAUUUUUGAAAUAUUUUCGCGUAAUUUGUUGAUAUCAAUUUACACAGAGCUGCCCUUUUGGUCCUGGCCAUAAUUAUAUCAUUUCGAUUGAUCAAUGCGCCUCGCUCCUCUUCGUCGGGCAACCCGAUAUAGGUAGAGAUAUGUAUAUAUAUGAGGGAUAUAAUGGGAUGCCACAGAUACCAGACAGAGAUCCCAUUGCCCUCGUUAAAUUUGCAGUGUAAGAUCGCUUAGCUCAUUAGCUGGGCUCCAGUUAGAAGGCUUUGGCCACUGAAGGCACCCCGUACUGCCCAGCGGGUGUGCCUCUUGUAUAAUGUAUAAUUAAAGAUCGGCUGCCCCCCUUUCCAACCUUUUUUAGCCACCAGCAGACAGGUGCAGGCGCGUUUUGUUACUCGGCCAUUGUCCGUCACUUGACGAUGAUAAAUGUGUCGCAUGAGCCAGACAUAAAUGGUUUGAUUUGGUGGCAGCAUCCCCGGCACUACUCCCCUACCCAUCGGAAGUCGUCAGCAUCAUCGCCUCUGGAGCCUCGGGAUACCGAUACCGAGAGUAUUUAAAGCAACUUUCACACUACACUCAAUUGUCUGUUUUAGGGCCAAGGCGCCCUAAAAGGCCAAAACACGCGCAGACUCAGCGGCCAGAGAGCUAAAAAAAUGAGGAAAAAUUAUAAAAUCAAGUGGUCUUGUCAGGCUGCCUAAGAAUAUAGUGAUGGAGUAGAAUUAUACCCAGUACGGGUUAUAAAAAUUUAAGACUACAGAAAUAUAUUUUAUAUAUUUUUCAAUGACUAGAAACAUAUUAAAAUUUAUUAGAAGUAAAAAAAAGUAAAUCUUUAUAGAAUAGUUGAACCAUUUCAUCCAAUUUUGCAACUACUCCUUUAAUAAAAUAUAUAAUUAAAUGAUUAUAAGAAACCUAAUACCAAACAGUAUGCAAAACCCUACCCCUUACAGGGUAUAAUAACAAAAGCUUAGUAAUUUUUCCUUAUACCAUAGUAUUUAUUUGUAUGCUGCACAAAUUUGGACACAUGUUGCAUACCAAAAACUGUUGAACGUAAAAGGAUAUUUUUUGCCCCGAUUCUCCGAUCCCGAUGACGCUCCCAGCCCGGCCCAGCAAACGCCAAUAAUUUAUAAAGCGGACAAUAAAAUGUUAUCAAACAAAAAAAAUGUAUAUAUAUAUAUAUAUAUUUAUACAAACAAGCUGACUGAAAACAGGACCAAGAAUCUGAAUCUGAAGGGUCUGGGGAGGAAAAGAAAAAGGACAGAGUCGACAGGCUGAACUAAAUGCCGCACGCCUGCGCAUGUUGAACAAACCAAGUUCAGAAAAAUAUUCGAAAAAAAAAUAAAUAAAAAUAAAGAAGAUGGGAGAUGGGGAGGUGGUGGGAUCCUCCAUGGCUCUGAUGAUAUAUGAAAUCAUAUAACAGCAAUCGGCAGGCCCAACAACAGCAACCCCGGCAAGGAGCUUCGCAUAAAGUGUGUGUAGUUUAUUAAGCGCGCCAAGAAAAUGACACAACAACCACAGUGGCCUCGCCAGUUGUUGCUUUUCGCCACAUAAUUUAUGGGGGCUUCAGUCCAGUUGGCUUAGAGCAUUUGCCACAGUUUAUUUAUGAGGCAAACAAACCGACCAGAGAUCAACGCCUCAAUAGAAAUGGAAAUGAAGUUAACUCUAUCAGCUUUGAUGGGGAAACAAUCGGCAGUCGAAUAAUAGAGCCAAACGAGCCAACGAAGAUUUAUAUUGAUUGGAGUAGUAGAUGAACUAAAUUACUACUAAAUGGUAAAAAUAGAGCACAAUAAAGGGAACAAAUAUAUAUUAUAAGUUUUUUGUACAUCCAGUAAUUAAACUCUUUUCAAAGAAAGUCAAAUUCUACAAGCAUAUCGCUGAUAGAUCUCCCAAAACUUAUUGUGAAAAUUUUAAAUUCCUAGCCAUAACCAUUUUGUUUUUUACCCUCAAUAAAUCACUUAUCUAUUAAAAUAUCGUAAAUCAAAUCCAUAAAACUUAUAAAAUUCAGAAACCAUUGCCAAUCAUCGAAAAGCUUCUACCCCUUCCCUUUAGCAUUCCACAUACAACAAAAAAAUAAAUAAAAAAUCCACCUUCGUCACAUGAUAUCCGAAGCAAGUAAAAAAAAAAUACAAAAGAACCAAUAAAAAAUAAAAUAAGCCAGAGCCAAAGCAAAGCCACAUUUAAAUAAUUCACCAAAGGCAUUCAAUCUAUAUUUAAAGUGAAAAUUGAUCAUAAAAUUUGCAAGGCACGUUUCGGAAUUAAAUCAUUUUAGUUGAGCAUGAACGCGAGGGUUUCGUGCACUAAAAACAAAAACCGAAAAAACACAAACAAAUAAAUAAAUUAAAAAAAAACCUCAAUCAAAUCUACGGCAAUCUCGACUUUUAAAUGAUUUUUAUAACACUUCUACGGCGGUUUUUCAAUAAAACAAAAAAAAAUUCGAUGAAUUUUAUGGCGUGGCAAAAAUUUAAUGACAUCGAAUCGAACUCCCUCCCCAUUGUUUCGCUUUUCUAAUAUACAAAAAGGCUUUAAUGGAUUUUUUGUUCGCUUCGGAUCGGUUUGUGUUGUUCGUUUUAUUUAAACAUAUAAACGGGACCAUAAAAAAAUACUACAGACCAAGAGACUCCCUGAAAGCGUGUUAAAAGUAGACUAAUGGGUUUUAAUUUAAGCCAACGAACCUUGGCUGGUUAGCUGAGCUUUUCUUCCAGAAGGGGAGGCCAAAAACAAGACAAAAAAAUAUAUAAUAUAAAAGGGGGAAAAGUCAACCAAAUAAUUGAAUAAUUGUAUUGGAGUGAGUGUGUUUGAUAAACUUUCUCUGACGUCCAUUCAAAAUUAAAUCACUUUACGCACUUUAGGCUCCGCCUUA
Long non-coding RNA from Drosophila ananassae, 8952 nucleotides. RefSeq lists it as uncharacterized. NCBI's taxonomy places the organism in Eukaryota, Metazoa, Arthropoda, Insecta, Diptera, Drosophilidae. The transcript has 4 exons. The record is from RefSeq and is a predicted model, not a curated record.